UAUAUCAAGAUAAGCGAGUGUGAAGCUUCGUAAAUUAGUAGAAAAAAUUAUCAAGAUGAAUACGAGAGCUUUCGCAGUGUUGUUUCUUUUGUUGGCGGCUGUUUUCCUUCCCAAUGUGGUUGCGCCCGUGGAUGACUCAAAACAUGGUUAUAGGAUCAUAUUUUUAAUUUGCUUCUUUAUGUGUAUGGUUAAGUUAACUGGUUUUCAUUUUCAUAUUAACAGAUGUUGGAAACCAAGUUGUGGACUCAAAAGUUUUCCUAUAAGAACGGGAGGUGUGAACAUAUAUGCUAGGGAGAUUCCUUCCAUAGAAGCAGAUGAAACUAAGUAUGAGCCGGACCAAGGAGGUAGCGACACGGAACGUGGAGGCGGUGGCAGAAACACUGAACGUAUAGAUGGUGGUUGUGACAGGAGUCAAAGAGGUCGUGGCAAUAGGCGAGGCCGUCGAGAUGGUGGGAUGUAAGAUCUUUAUCAUGUGCCUAGAACACCCUGCUUAUACGAAGGUGGAAGAAUAAGGGACCAAAAUCUCCAAUACCUUUGACCCAAAAAGAUAUUCUACUUUCUCCUUUGACUAAAACUGAUUUUAUUUUAUAGUUUUUUAAAAUCGAAAAUGUGUGGCUAAAGAAUUACAUAUCCCACCACCACCCACCUAAAUCCACCCAAUUAGGAUCUCGCCCUUUUCCUCUUUUAAUCUUUCCCGAAAAUCGAGUAUAAAAUUAUUCUUCACCUUCCAGUGUUAGUACAAGUUUACAACUAAGGAUAACUCGAGUCUGGGUAAGUUGAAGUCUGUUUAUGUUUUUUCAGUUUUAUGUUAAAUACAAAUGAAUGUUGGGUAAACUGAUUUUGUCGAUUUUGUUAUGGAAUUGAAUGUUGGAUAAGUAGGUUAGAAUUAGAGUGGAAUUGUUAAUUGGGUUUGUUCUCUUUUUUUUUGUUUGUGCAAGAAUCGCAAUAGUGCAUACAAAGAACCCAAGCUUUGUUGGACCAUCGAACCGAACAGAUACAAUCGUAGAAGAAGAAGAGACUCGUGGAGAUGAUUAUGAAGGAAUCUGAGAACGAUGUCGAAGUAAUGCAACCUCUGAAUAAGUACUUCGAGUACACCGAGUAUAGAAAGUCUUUCAAGUUAUCUGGAAUGUGUUAUAAUUCAAAGGCGAUGAAUUUAUUGGGAAGUCAUCUUCAACAAGACGAGUUGGAUUGGUUUCUAUUGCAUCCACAAUUCAAACAUUUCUUCCAUAUGCCCAAAGACUCCAAUCAUAAGUUGAUGGGUAUGUGGAUGCUCUUGAUUCGCAUGGCGCGUUUGGAGAAGAAAAAUAAAUGUUGGUUCAUGGUCAAUGGUGUACCCAUCUGGUAUCCUCUCAGAGAAAUGACAAUUAUUUCUGGGUCAUAUUGUCAUCAGUAUCCAUGUUUCAAGGAAAGUUUGGGCAGUUUAAACUUUGUUGGGAGGUACUUUUGAGGUUGGAUCAAAAAUAAAAUAUGAAGAUGUUAAAGCGAAGCUACUAUCAAUGAGGAAACUUUCUACAGAUCGUUUGAAGAUGGCAGUAUUGUAUUGCUUAUAUAGCGUCAUCAUAGGGGAGAAAAAAGAAGGGAAGAAAGCAACCUCUAUGGCCUUUCUUUCUUAGAGUCGUGGAUGAUCAUGAUAUGUGUAAAAUCUUCCCUUGUGGUCGAUUGACAUUUGAUGAGAACAUGAAAGACAUCUUUCGUUUGAUGGGCCACUUUGGUGGAGAUGUGGAUACACGGUGGGUCUUUCCUAGUUUCAUAAUUCCUUUGGAGGUAAAUAUUAGAUUUUUAAAUGUAUAACUUCGUAUAACUGGGGGAUGAUGUGGAUCCUGAUGAUGUUAGUCAGGAUGAUGUUGGUGUGGAUCAAGAUGAUGUGAACCCGAAGAAUGUGAAUCUGGUUGAUGUGGCGCUGGAGAAUUUGUUACAACUUGCAGCAAGCUUGCUUCAGCUAGAAGAUUGGGUGAACAAAGGGUUUAAGGAUAGCACUAACAAAUUUUAUGUCCUUGAUGCUAGGGUCAAAUAUGUGGAAUUAUAUGUGAAGGAUAAGGUACAACCUGAGAGUGAGAUGAUACAUGCAACUUGGGUCUUAGAAGGAACAACUUGGGCAAAGAUAGGACAAGAUACAAAUUACAACCAGAUAUUGUACCAACAAGUAUUCACUUAGUUGUACCAGAACAAAAAACAAGUUUUACUUAGUUGUACUAUAUUCCAAAA
Molecule: non-coding RNA, 2205 nt
Organism: Camelina sativa (false flax)
Lineage: Eukaryota; Viridiplantae; Streptophyta; Magnoliopsida; Brassicales; Brassicaceae
Source: RefSeq, a predicted model, not a curated record